GGUGAUGACGCUGGGAACGCGAGCGGCGGAUGGGUGAGUAACACGUGGGUAACCUGCCCUAAAGUCUGGGAUACCACUUGGAAACAGGUGCUAAUACCGGAUAACAACAAUAGCUGCAUGGCUAUUGCUUAAAAGGCGGCGAAAGCUGUCGCUAAAGGAUGGACCCGCGGUGCAUUAGCUAGUUGGUAAGGUAAUGGCUUACCAAGGCGACGAUGCAUAGCCGAGUUGAGAGACUGAUCGGCCACAUUGGGACUGAGACACGGCCCAAACUCAGAAGGGAGGCAGCAGUAGGGAAUCUUCCACAAUGGGCGAAAGCUGGAUGGAGCAACGCCGCGUGAGUAAGAAGGUUUUCGGAUCGUAAAGCUCUGUUGUUGGUGAAGAAGGAUAGAGGUAGUAACUGGCCCCUAUUUGACGGUAAUCAACCAGAAAGUCACGGCUAACUACGUGCCAGCAGCCGCGGUAAUACGUAGGUGGCAAGCGUUGUCCGGAUUUAUUGGGCGUAAAGCGAGCGCAGGCGGAAAGAUAAGUCUGAUGUGAAACCCCGGCUUAACCGAGGAAUUGCAUCGGAAACUGUGUUUCUUGAGUGCAGAAGAGGAGAGUGGAACUCCAUGUGUAGCGGUGGAAUGCGUAGAUAUAUGGAAGAACACCAGUGGCGAAAGCGGCUCUCUGGUCUGUGACUGACGCUGAGGCUCGAAAGCAUGGGUAGCGACAGGAUUAGAUACCUGGUAGUCAUGC
Molecule: ribosomal RNA, 735 nt
Filed under: Lactobacillus intestinalis
Lineage: Bacteria; Bacillati; Bacillota; Bacilli; Lactobacillales; Lactobacillaceae
Description: bacterial SSU rRNA
Rfam family: Bacterial small subunit ribosomal RNA
Source: RNAcentral